Molecule: long non-coding RNA, 641 nt
Organism: Dermacentor andersoni
Lineage: Eukaryota; Metazoa; Arthropoda; Arachnida; Ixodida; Ixodidae
Source: RefSeq, a predicted model, not a curated record
CAUCGAUUUGAUUAUGGUUACCUCUUGCGUUGCCUACGGAUGUGCGAACAGGCUGAAGAAGGGUUGUGGCCUCACGUUUCACCUGUUUCCAAAAGAUCCGGAGCUGCGGAGCCUGUGGGAGCGGGCUGUUCACCGUGAAAGGUGGCAUGCGAAAGAUGGAGAUCGCCUUUGCUGUGUGCAUUUCGCGCCGGAGUGCUUCGACCGCACCGGACAGACAACACGACUACGUGCGGGUAGUGUUCCUUCUGUGUUCCCUACGUUUCCGGAGCAUCUACAGAAGCCCGUGAAAAGGAAGCGUCCAGGCCGGAAGCAUGAAGACUGGUUCCAGAAACUGGAGGACCACAUCCUUGAUCUUGAUCCACUUGAUAACCAUAUUUAUAUUUUGUGCAAAAAAAUCGCUGAAGAAUAUAUAAAAGUGAGAAUACACCACAUGACGAAAGAACGAAACUGUGAACUGAUCAAAAACAAAGUGAGACCACUUUUGUCGAGGGUGAUUAUUUUCAAUCACCAGUAGGGUGUUUGUCAUGGUGUUCUUGACUGUAUGUGAGACUUUCUCCUUAAUAUCUGCUCGUUUGAACUUCCUUCUGUGUAUCAGUUGGCUGCUGGUUGAUGGUAAAUAAACGACUACAACUAGAACCACA